This 253-nucleotide unclassified non-coding RNA is filed under the name uncultured Alphaproteobacteria bacterium. RNAcentral describes it as "contains 16S-23S intergenic spacer region". It matches the Rfam family "Bacterial small subunit ribosomal RNA", at positions 524 to 776 of the family's 1533-position model. Lineage: Bacteria; Pseudomonadati; Pseudomonadota; Alphaproteobacteria. The record is from RNAcentral.
UACGGAGGGGGCUAGCGUUGUUCGGAAUUACUGGGCGUAAAGCGCACGUAGGCGGGUCGUUAAGUCGGUGGUGAAAUCCUGGGGCUCAACCUCAGAACUGCCUUCGAUACUGGCGACCUUGAGUACGGGAGAGGUGAGUGGAAUUCCCAGUGUAGAGGUGAAAUUCGUAGAUAUUGGGAAGAACACCAGUGGCGAAGGCGGCUCACUGGCCCGUAACUGACGCUGAGGUGCGAAAGCGUGGGGAGCAAACAGG